AUUGAACGCUGGCGGCAUGCUUUACACAUGCAAGUCGAACGGUAACAGGUUAAGCUGACGAGUGGCGAACGGGUGGGUAAUGCAUCGGAACGUGCCCGAUCGUGGGGGAUAACGCAGCGAAAGCUGCGCUAAUACCGCAUACGAUCUGAGGAUGAAAGCGGGGGACCGUAAGGCCUCGCGCGAUCGGAGCGGCCGAUGUCAGAUUAGGUAGUUGGUGGGGUAAAGGCUCACCAAGCCAACGAUCUGUAGCUGGUCUGAGAGGACGACCAGCCACACUGGGACUGAGACACGGACCAGACUCCUACGGGAGGCAGCAGUGGGGAAUUUUGGACAAUGGGCGAAAGCCUGAUCCAGCAAUGCCGCGUGCAGGAAGAAGGCCUUCGGGUUGUAAACUGCUUUUGUACGGAGCGAAAAGGCCCUCUCUAAUACAGUGGGCUCAUGACGGUACCGUAAGAAUAAGCACCGGCUAACUACGUGCCAGCAGCCGCCGUAA
RNAcentral lists this ribosomal RNA (493 nucleotides) under uncultured bacterium. Its description in RNAcentral is "partial 16S ribosomal RNA". It matches the Rfam family "Bacterial small subunit ribosomal RNA", at positions 30 to 523 of the family's 1533-position model. The record is from RNAcentral.